This 468-nucleotide ribosomal RNA is filed under the name uncultured bacterium. RNAcentral's name for it is "partial 16S ribosomal RNA". It matches the Rfam family "Bacterial small subunit ribosomal RNA", at positions 28 to 507 of the family's 1533-position model. The record is from RNAcentral.
GACGAACGCUGGCGGCGUGCUUAACACAUGCAAGUCGAACGGAAAGGCCCUGCUUUUGUGGGGUGCUCGAGUGGCGAACGGGUGAGUAACACGUGAGUAACCUGCCCUUGACUUUGGGAUAACUUCAGGAAACUGGGGCUACUACCGGAUAGGAGCUCCUGCUGCAUGGUGGGGGUUGGACAGUUUCGGCGGUUGGGGAUGGAUUCGCGGCUUAUCAGCUUGUUGGUGGGGUAGUGGCUAACCAAGGCUUUGACGGGUAGCCGGCCUGAGAGGGUGACCGGCCACAUUGGGACUGAGAUACGCCCCAGAGUCCUACGGUAGGCAGCAGUGGGGAAUAUUGCACAAUGAGCGGAAGCCUGAUGCAGCAGCGCCGCGUUCGGGAUGACGGCCUUCGGGUUGUAAACCGCUUUCGCCUGUGACGAAGCGUGAGUGACGGUAAUGGGUAAAGAAGCACCGGCUAACUACGUG